GGAGUUAAAGAGCAGCCUAGGCAACAUGGCGCGACCCCGUCUCUGUAGUCCCACUUCAGCUUCCCAGAUACUUGAACCCCAAAGUUCAAGGCUGCAAUGACCUAUGAUCCCAUCACAGCACUCCAGCCUGCGAGACUGAGAGACGGGGUUUCACCAUGUUGGCCAGGCUGGUCUGGAACUCCUGACCUGAAGUGAUCUGCCCACCUCGGCUUCCCAAAGUGCUGGGAUGACAGGCGUAAGCCACUGCGCCUGGCCCCUUCAGGUGGGUUUUGAGGCUUCACUACAAUACUAGUUCCCCGUUGCUGCUGCAACAAAUUACCACACCCUUAGUGGCUUAAAACAGCACAGAGAUAUUCCCUUCCAGUUCUGAAGGCCAGAAUUCUAAAGUCAGUCCCACUGAGUCAAGGUGGGAGCAGGCUCAGUGCCUUCCCAGGCUCUGCGGGAGAAUCCGUUUCCUGGCCCUGGAGGCGGCCUGUACUCCUCAGCUUGUGCUGCCCUUCUCGAAUGACUCGAGUUUCCUGCUUUCAUCACUACACCUCCCACCACUCUCCAUCACCUGCUCUGCUCUUAUAAGGAUCCAGAGAAAUGGAAUAGUCGUAUCACUGAUCUACGUAAACAGGUUGAAGAAUUGUCUGAAAGAAAAUAUGGUGUGUCUAAACUGGAAAAGUCCUGUAAUAGUUUGUUCAUGAGCAUUUACACAAUGGAGUUGCUGUUUCAUCAUGGGGGUACUGUGGACAAGCCCAGGGUUGCUGUAGAGACAGAGUUUUUUGUCUUGUAGGCCAGGCUGGUCUCGAGCUCCUGACCUCAAGUGAUCCACCUGCCUCCCAAAGUGCUGGGAUUACAGGCACAUGAACUUAUGAAUUUAAGACAUGAAGAUUUACAGCUUGAUAAACCAGCUUCAGGAGACAUGAACUUAUGAACUCAACACAUGAAGAUUUACAGCUUGACAAACACUCCAGCGGGAAGAAGAAGAGGCCUUUGCCAGCAGUCAGAGCAGCCAAGGGGCCCAAUCCCUCACAUUCUCCAAGUUUGAAGAAAAACCAACGAGAAGACCCGCAAGGUUACCACAGUGAAGAAAUCUUCAGUGCGUCUUCUAGGGUCGGAUCAAAGAAGGCAGAAAUUCAGGAAGCAAAAGCUCCCAGUCCUUCCAUAAACCGGCAAACCAGCAUUGAAAUGGGUUAAGAGUGUCUAAGGAGUUCAUAGAAUUUCUCAAGACCUUCCACAAGACAGGCCAAGAAAUCUAUAAACAGACCAAGCUGUUUUUGGAAGGGAUGCAUUACAAAGGGAGCCCUGCACUGGGUUACGCCUCAGAUGCUGUGUGUCCCUGUUAAUGAAGACAUCCCAGAAGUGUCUGAUACGCUGGUGAAGGCGAUCACAGUUGCAGAGUUCUGAUGGAGAGAUAUUUGAAGUUGAUGUGGAGAUUGCCAAACAAUCUGUGACUAUCAAGACCAUGUUGGAAGAUUUGGGAAUGGAUGAUGAAGGAGAUGACCCAGUUCCUCUACCAAAUGUGAAUGCAGCAGUAUUUAAAAAGGUCAUUCAGUGGUACACCCACCACAAGGAUGACCCUCCUCCCGCUGAAGAUGAUGAGAACAAAGAAAAGCAAACAGACGAUAUCCCUGUUUGGGACCAAGAAUUCCUGAAAGUUGCCCAAGGAACACUUUUUGAACUCAUUCUGGCUGCAAACUACUUAGACAUCAAAGGUUUGCUUGAUGUUACAUGCAAGACUAUUGCCAAUAUGAUCAAGGGGAGAACUCCUGAGGAGAUUCGCAGGACCUUCAAUACCAAAAAUGACUUUACUGAAGAGGAGGAAGCCCAGGUACGCAAAGAGAACCAGUGGUGUGAAGAGAAGUGAAAUGUUGUGCCUGACACUGUAACACUGUAAGGAUUGUUCCAAAUACUAGUUGCACUGCUCUGUUUAUAAUUGUUAAUAUUAGACAAACAGUAGACAAAUGCAGUGGCAAGUCAAUUGUAUUAGCAGAAUAUUAUCCUCAUUGCAUGUGCAGUUUGAGUACAGAUUCCAAACCUAUGGCUGAGUUUCUUCUAGUAUGAUCAAAAGUUUCUUUUUUCUUUGCUCUGAAUAAAACUGAACUGUGGGUUCUCUAUAA
This 2105-nucleotide small RNA is filed under the name Pongo abelii (Sumatran orangutan). RNAcentral's name for it is "processed transcript". Lineage: Eukaryota; Metazoa; Chordata; Mammalia; Primates; Hominidae. The record is from RNAcentral.